UACGGAGGGUGCAAGCGUUAUCCGGAAUCAUUGGGUUUAAAGGGUGCGCAGGCGGAAUUUUAAGUCAGUGGUGAAAUCCCUUCGCUUAACGAAGGAACUGCCAUUGAUACUGAAAUUCUUGAAUUUGGUUGGCGUGGGCGGAAUGUGCCAUGUAGCGGUGAAAUGCUUAGAUAUGGCACAGAACACCGAUCGCGAAGGCAGCUCACGAAACCAUUAUUGACGCUCAGGCACGAAAGCAUGGGGAGCAAACAGG
This 253-nucleotide ribosomal RNA is filed under the name uncultured bacterium. RNAcentral's name for it is "partial 16S ribosomal RNA". It matches the Rfam family "Bacterial small subunit ribosomal RNA", at positions 524 to 776 of the family's 1533-position model. The record is from RNAcentral.